CCUAUCUCGUUGUAGAAGCUUGUCCGAAAUCCAUCCGCUAUGGGGAAGCUCGGCUGAAGUCUACCUGUAAUAGAAGUUCAGAAGAAAUUCAUUUACAGUAGAGGCUCGAAUGGAAUUUGCUUAUAGUAGAUAUCCAGAGUAGACCGCCUGCAGUGGGAGUUCGACUCUCGCAGGAGCUCAGUUAGAAUCCGGAAGGCGAUCGACUAUCGUAGAAACUUGGAUGGAGCCUGGUUACUGUAGAAAUCUCGUUGUCGGAGAAGCUCGGAUAUUGACGAAGUCUGGAAGAAGUUUGAAGUAGGGUCGC
RNAcentral lists this long non-coding RNA (304 nucleotides) under Elaeis guineensis (African oil palm). Its description in RNAcentral is "long non-coding RNA (EGUI_LNC046895)". Lineage: Eukaryota; Viridiplantae; Streptophyta; Magnoliopsida; Arecales; Arecaceae. The record is from RNAcentral.